This 253-nucleotide ribosomal RNA is filed under the name uncultured bacterium. RNAcentral describes it as "partial 16S ribosomal RNA". It matches the Rfam family "Bacterial small subunit ribosomal RNA", at positions 524 to 776 of the family's 1533-position model. The record is from RNAcentral.
UACGUAGGAUCCAAGCGUUGUCCGGAUUUACUGGGUGUAAAGGGUGCGCAGGCGGACUGGUGAGUCUGGGGUGAAAUCUCGCCGCUUAACGGCGAAACUGCCUUAGAUACUAUCAGUCUUGAAUCAGCGAGAGGUUCGUGGAAUUCCGAGUGUAGCAGUGAAAUGUGUAGAUAUUCGGAAGAACACCAGUGGCGAAGGCAGCGAACUGGCGCUCGAUUGACGCUCAGGCACGAAAGCAUGGGGAUCAAACAGG